Long non-coding RNA from Chinchilla lanigera (long-tailed chinchilla), 855 nucleotides. RefSeq lists it as uncharacterized. The transcript is spliced from 3 exons. Lineage: Eukaryota; Metazoa; Chordata; Mammalia; Rodentia; Chinchillidae. The record is from RefSeq and is a predicted model, not a curated record.
UAGAAUUCCAAUAACUGUUCAUGGGAUUACAAAUGUAAACUCCCUGGACGGGCCGAGGACCAGGAAGGGCUCUCUAAAGUUUCGAGUGAUCACCUGGUUUCUACUUCUUGGACACUACGCUUCUCUUUGCAGAUUCCACGACCUAUGGCUGCUAAGUUUCCCCUCCUUCUUCCCAGGAUGGCGGGUGAAUGCUGUCUUGGGGGCGGCGCUCAGCGGUGGGCGCUUCUGGCCCAUACGCUCCUGGAGGGCAGGCCUUGACCUCUCACCUCCGGGUCCGCUAUACUCACUGUCCCUGGCACCUAGCUGGGGCUCAGGCCUUUGCUGGAACAGUAUUUACUGUUCCUAUGGCUGGUAGUUCAGAGUUCGCAAAGGAUAUUAGUCUCCACUAGGUGUCAUGAUGAGUCAAGUAACAUUUGGAAAUCUUGCUUUUACUAUAUUCAUUUUCACGCAUGCAUUCUAUGUCUCACUGGGCACCUGUUGAGGGUCUGCUCGUGCCAAGCCAUGCUGGCCCUAGGGUCUCAUCUUGGCUGAGUUACCAGGUCUGGAGAGGAAGAAGCUGCAGUGGGUGUGGAGACAGACAGGCCACGAAGGCACAGGACAGAGGGACAGGUUACGCCAGAGGACACAGCCAUGGCUCCUCGAGAGAGGCACCUUCUAAGUUUAGAUUCCUAGGUUUUCAGACCACCUCUAAGAAUACGAGUUUACCUCCCUGGGCCCUGGCCAUGUGGGAAUGCUGGGUUUGGAGCGGGCCUGAGUUGGUCUAUGCAGGGAGGAGCCUGGAGGCCAGUGCUGACCUAGACCACCAUCCUGGACAUGUGCUGAGACCAGCCAUCCAAUGUUGCCCUCUGCCGUGUG